ACGGGAGGCAGCAGUGGGGAAUAUUGCACAAUGGGCGCAAGCCUGAUGCAGCGAUGCCGCGUGAGGGAAGAAGGUUUUCGGAUUGUAAACCUCUGUCAUCGGGGACGAUAAUGACUGUACCCGAGAAGGAAGCUCCGGCUAACUACGUGCCAGCAGCCGCGGUAAUACGUAGGGAGCGAGCGUUAUCCGGAAUUACUGGGUGUAAAGGGAGUGUAGGCGGGACUGUAAGUCAGAUGUGAAAUAUGCCGGCUCAACUGGCAGACUGCAUUUGAAACUGCGGUUCUUGAGUGAAGGAGAGGUAAGCGGAAUUCCUAGUGUAGCGGUGAAAUGCGUAGAUAUUAGGAGGAACAUCAGUGGCGAAGGCGGCUUACUGGGCUUUAACUGACGCUGAGGCUCGAAAGCGUGGGGAGCAAACAGGAUUAGAUACCCUGGUA
Molecule: ribosomal RNA, 434 nt
Filed under: uncultured Ruminococcus sp.
Lineage: Bacteria; Bacillati; Bacillota; Clostridia; Eubacteriales; Oscillospiraceae
Description: bacterial SSU rRNA
Rfam family: Bacterial small subunit ribosomal RNA
Source: RNAcentral